UCUGGUGGCUUGACGCGGAGGAUACACCCGUUCUCAUUCCGAACACGGAAGUUAAGCUCUGUAGUGCCGAUAAUACUCCGUAAGGGGGAAGGUAGGCAGCCGCCGGUA
RNAcentral lists this ribosomal RNA (108 nucleotides) under bacterium. The record is from RNAcentral.